ACAGGUGAACAGAGAGAUGAUGGAGAUA
Molecule: small RNA, 28 nt
Filed under: Arabidopsis thaliana (thale cress)
Lineage: Eukaryota; Viridiplantae; Streptophyta; Magnoliopsida; Brassicales; Brassicaceae
Description: ATSL065770
Source: RNAcentral